This is a non-coding RNA of Caenorhabditis elegans, 141 nucleotides long. NCBI's taxonomy places the organism in Eukaryota, Metazoa, Nematoda, Chromadorea, Rhabditida, Rhabditidae. The record is from Ensembl.
GAAUGAAGUGUAGUAAUUGAACAGAAGUUUUAGUUUUCCUUCAAAAUUGUUGAACCUCAUGAAUUUUUUAGAUGCCUCAUUAUGACCGUACAUUUUGAAUGUUUUAGAGCAAUACGACAAUUGUCUGAAUCUAUAAUUUUG